This 508-nucleotide ribosomal RNA is filed under the name Russula sp. VH-2016l. RNAcentral's name for it is "partial 12S small subunit ribosomal RNA". It matches the Rfam family "Bacterial small subunit ribosomal RNA", at positions 370 to 943 of the family's 1533-position model. Lineage: Eukaryota; Fungi; Basidiomycota; Agaricomycetes; Russulales; Russulaceae. The record is from RNAcentral.
AAUGCUCGAAAGAGUGAACUAGCUAACUGAAAUCAAUAAAAAAUUGAUAACAUAAGGGAAAAUAAUGAUAUUACCUUAUUAUUAGUGUCGUCCAAAUCCGGUGCCAGAAGACUCGGUAAGGCCGGAGACACGAACGUUAAUCGUCUUAAUCAGGCGUAAAGGGUUUGUAGGCGGCUUUAAAUUUAAAAAAGUAAAGAAAAAAAGCUAGAAUCAUAUAGAGGUUAUAUUAAAUAAUGCUUAGAGUAGGUCUGAUAUCUUUAGAUACUAAGUAGAAUAUUAAAGGCGAAAGCUUUUUUCCAUUAAUGAUUGACGCUCAGAAACGAAGGUGAGGAUAGGAAAUAGGAUUAGAUACCCAAAAUACCCCUCUCUGUCAACGAUGAAUGGUAGUUAUUAGUAAAAAUUAUUAAUGGCAAUGUUAACACGAUAACCAUUCCGCCUUGUGAGUACAACUGCAAAGUUGAAAACAAAAAAAUUAGUCGGUUUCGGAGCAAACGAAGUGAAGCAUGUU